GCCGGAAGGACAUUUCAUGAAUGAAGUUUGAAGCAGGGUUGUUGCUGGCCUCCGGGCAUGUGCACACUCUGUUCUACCCACCCUUCUACACCACUGUGCACUUCUCAUGGGUCGGUUCUGCGCCUUCGGGCUGCGAUCCUGCCUGUGUGCUCCAUACAUACACGUUUGUUAUAGAAUGUCUACUGUGCAUGAAUGCAUAUAAAUACAACUUUCAGCAACGGAUCUCUUGGCUCUCGCAUCGAUGAAGAACGCAGCGAAAUGCGAUAAGUAAUGUGAAUUGCAGAAUUCAGUGAAUCAUCGAAUCUUUGAACGCACCUUGCGCUCCUUGGUAUUCCGAGGAGCAUGCCUGUUUGAGUGUCAUGGUACUCUCAAUCUCUUUCACUUUUUUAGUGGUUUGAGAUUGGACUUGGAGGCUUGCAGGUGGACUUGUCUGUCUGCUCCUCUGAAAUGCAUUAGUUUGGACUGUCUCCGAGCAUGCUUCAGCGUGAUAAUUGUCUGCGCUGCUGCUCUCGGUACAAAAAUGUCCCUGCUUCUAACCGUCUGUUUGUAGACAACCUUUACACUUCUGACCUCAAAUCAGGUAGGACUACCCGCUGAACUUAAGCAUAUCAAUAAGCGGAGGAAAGAAACUAACAAGGAUUCCCCUAGUAACUGCGAGUGAAGCGGGAAAAGCUCAAAUUUAAAAUCUGUCAGCUUUGGCUGUCCGAGUUGUAGUCUGGAGAAGCGUUUUCUGUGCUGGACCGUGUACAAGUCUCUUGGAACAGAGCGUCGUAGAGGGUGAGAAUCCCGUCUUUGACACGGACUGCCAGUACUUUGUGAUGCGCUCUCAAAGAGUCGAGUUGUUUGGGAAUGCAGCUCAAAAUGGGUGGUAAAUUCCAUCUAAAGCUAAAUAUUGGCGAGAGACCGAUAGCGACAGUAC
This 919-nucleotide ribosomal RNA is filed under the name Cabalodontia albofibrillosa. Its description in RNAcentral is "eukaryotic LSU rRNA". The stretch from base 567 to 919 matches the Rfam family "Eukaryotic large subunit ribosomal RNA", at positions 1 to 351 of the family's 3401-position model. Lineage: Eukaryota; Fungi; Basidiomycota; Agaricomycetes; Polyporales; Steccherinaceae. The record is from RNAcentral.